AUGCUCGCUUUGCAGCACAUAUACUAAAACUGGAACAAUACAGAGGUUAGCACGACACCUGCACAAGGAUGGCAUGCAAAUUCAUGAAGGGUUCCAUAUUUUA
Molecule: small nuclear RNA, 103 nt
Organism: Carcharodon carcharias (great white shark)
Lineage: Eukaryota; Metazoa; Chordata; Chondrichthyes; Lamniformes; Lamnidae
Source: RefSeq, a predicted model, not a curated record